AUUGAACGCUGGCGGCAUGCCUUACACAUGCAAGUCGAACGGCGGCACGGGUGCUUGCACCUGGUGGCGAGUGGCGAACGGGUGAGUAAUACAUCGGAACAUGUCCUGUAGUGGGGGAUAGCCCGGCGAAAGCCGGAUUAAUACCGCAUACGAUCUACGGAUGAAAGCGGGGGACCUUCUGGCCUCGCGCUAUAGGGUUGGCCGAUGGCUGAUUAGAUAGUUGGGGGGGUAAAGGCAUACCAAGGCGACGAUCAGUAGCUGGUCCGAGAGGACGACCAGCCACACUGGGACGGGAACACGGCCCAGACUCCUACGGUAGGCAGCAGUGGGGAAUUUUGGACAAUGGGCGAAAACCUAAUCCAACAAUGCCGCGUGGGGGAAGAAAGCCUUCGGGUUGUAAAGCACUUUUGUCCGGAAAGAAAUGCUUGGCCCUAAGACGGUCGGGGGAUGACGGUACCGGAAGAAUAAGCAACGGCUAACUACGUG
This 486-nucleotide ribosomal RNA is filed under the name uncultured bacterium. RNAcentral's name for it is "partial 16S ribosomal RNA". It matches the Rfam family "Bacterial small subunit ribosomal RNA", at positions 29 to 507 of the family's 1533-position model. The record is from RNAcentral.